Lojkania enalia is the source of this 89-nucleotide non-coding RNA. The record is from the annotation of a GenBank genome assembly. Lineage: Eukaryota; Fungi; Ascomycota; Dothideomycetes; Pleosporales.
GGGGGAUUGGCGCAAUGGUAGCGCGUUGGUUUUCGGUUCUUAUGUGUCUGUUACACCAAAGGUUGUGGGUUCGAGCCCCAUGUCCCUCG